GACGAACGCUGGCGGCGUGCCUAAUACAUGCAAGUCGAGCGAAUGGAUUAAGAGCUUGCUCUUAUGAAGUUAGCGGCGGACGGGUGAGUAACACGUGGGUAACCUGCCCAUAAGACUGGGAUAACUCCGGGAAACCGGGGCUAAUACCGGAUAACAUUUUGAACCGCAUGGUUCGAAAUUGAAAGGCGGCUUCGGCUGUCACUUAUGGAUGGACCCGCGUCGCAUUAGCUAGUUGGUGAGGUAACGGCUCACCAAGGCAACGAUGCGUAGUCGACCUGAGAGGGUGAUCGGCCACACUGGGACUGAGACACGGCCCAGACUCCUACGGGAGGCAGCAGUAGGGAAUCUUCCGCAAUGGACGAAAGUCUGACGGAGCAACGCCGCGUGAGUGAUGAAGGCUUUCGGGUCGUAAAACUCUGUUGUUAGGGAAGAACAAGUGCUAGUUGAAUAAGCUGGCACCUUGACGGUACCUAACCAGAAAGCCUCGGCUAGCUACGUGCCAGCCGCCGCAGUAA
RNAcentral lists this ribosomal RNA (515 nucleotides) under uncultured bacterium. Its description in RNAcentral is "partial 16S ribosomal RNA". It matches the Rfam family "Bacterial small subunit ribosomal RNA", at positions 28 to 523 of the family's 1533-position model. The record is from RNAcentral.